UACGUAGGGUGCAAGCGUUGUCCGGAAUUAUUGGGCGUAAAGAGCUCGUAGGCGGUCUGUCGCGUCGAAUGUGAAAACCCGGGGCUCAACCCCGAGCCUGCAUUCGAUACGGGCAGACUAGAGUUCGGUAGGGGAGUCUGGAAUUCCUGGUGUAGCGGUGAAAUGCGCAGAUAUCAGGAGGAACACCGGUGGCGAAGGCGGGACUCUGGGCCGAUACUGACGCUGAGGAGCGAAAGCGUGGGGAGCAAACAGG
This 253-nucleotide ribosomal RNA is filed under the name uncultured bacterium. Its description in RNAcentral is "partial 16S ribosomal RNA". It matches the Rfam family "Bacterial small subunit ribosomal RNA", at positions 524 to 776 of the family's 1533-position model. The record is from RNAcentral.